AGUCGACUCAACAACAAGAACAAAUUGUUGACAGUAAUAUAGAAAGUGAAAAAAUUAUAGAUAUCAAUACAUCGACAACACUUACACAAGAAAGUGAUAUAGAGAAAAUUAUAAAUAUCAAUACAUCAACACAUACACAAGAUAUUAUACUGGAUAUAGAGACUUUAUCAGAAAUAAGUCAGCAAAAUUCUGAUAAUGCUUCAGACAAUGUCUCAAGUGUAUUUAGCGAUGUACCAUUUGAAAGUGAAAAUUUAUCGAAAAAACGACGUCUUGCUGAUGAUGAAUAUAAUCUUGAAGCUGUUUUAAGAAAAUCAGAUGACGGCUUGAUAGUGCUAAAUACAUAUAAAAAAGACAAUAAAUUAAAUAAUGAUUUACGAAACAAAAUUGCUAAAAUAAUUGUCAGUAAUGAGCUAACACCGAACAUAAACUGUAGUAUUACCAGAAGCAGAGCAUCAUAUUUGAGCGAACAAGUGAAAAAGUUAUUUCCUACUGAA
Long non-coding RNA from Pseudomyrmex gracilis, 494 nucleotides. RefSeq lists it as uncharacterized. The transcript is spliced from 3 exons. Lineage: Eukaryota; Metazoa; Arthropoda; Insecta; Hymenoptera; Formicidae. The record is from RefSeq and is a predicted model, not a curated record.